This 3267-nucleotide long non-coding RNA is filed under the name Lactuca sativa (garden lettuce). RNAcentral's name for it is "long non-coding RNA (LSAT_LNC007852)". The record is from RNAcentral. Lineage: Eukaryota; Viridiplantae; Streptophyta; Magnoliopsida; Asterales; Asteraceae.
CCAAAUCUUAACCUUGAACUUGCUCACAACCACUUGAGAAAUCAUUAUAUAAGAUGAGGGGUACAUGUUUGUUGUAUUAGCCGAUGCAGGACUCCUAAAAGCUAAGAGGAAAAGGAAACGUGUAACUUGUUGUAUAGAUGAGGAAUAUGGCAGAGCUUUCAUUUGGGCACCAAUGUAGGAUGGUUACGUCAAGAAUAAGACUCAAACUAUAGACAUUACUCAUAAAGACUUAACGUUUUAAUCAGAGACAACUUAUGAUGAAAUUAGAUAAAUUUAAUAGAUACAUAAAAUAUAUUUUUUAAAACUUUAUUCAAAUUGGUUCGGUUUAGUUUUAGUGGGCCGGUUUCUAAUACACAAACCAAACCCAAACUGAAUUUUUCGGAUUCAAAAAAUCAGAACCCAAAAGUGGUGGUUUGUGUUUGAUUUCGAUUUUUCGUUUUUGGUUUUGCUCGACCCUAAUGUAAGUUGAAAUAAAUAGAUAAUAAACAUUGUUAUCAAAGAAUUUAGCUUCAUUAUGUGUUUAGAACAUGAGUUAUUGAUCGUUGUGGAACUAAUCAAGAAACGCUAAUACGUAAUAAUAUGUAGUUCAUGUUAGAUUUAUGAACAUUACAAUUAAUUAAAAAUGAUGUAAUACAAGUGUGGGUUGAUUGGUAGUCUUUGUAGAGUAGAAUGCUUAAAUUGGACUCAACAUCCAAAGUUUGAUUUUAUUUCAUGUAUGUUGGUAGUUACUCGGUUUAACACUAUACUUUUUAAACACCAUUUUAUAUUGAUAAAAAUGUGUUUCUACAAAAGUUUUUCAACAAUUAUCAGAGUUUAUAACUUUUCAAUGUUACAAUCAAUAUCAACAAAUAUAGUGUAAGUUGAAAGGAUUACUAAACCUUCUUUGUUUCCUUUAGUCAUUUUCACUAUCUUCGCUCUUCUCUUCCGCUUCCACACCUAAGUACAUAGCACAAACUAUGUAAGUCUGAAGACUCAUGAGUUACAUGAGUUUUUAACUCAACUUUGAUUUAUUAUUAAGGAAUUUUACUUUGUUUUGUAGAGACUUUAUCACAUAAAGUCCUAACAAAAAUGAUCCUAGCACAUAGGGCCAUGGAAAAACAAAUCAAUCGGAGGCUAGUAGGAACCAUGUCCAUCCCGAUGUUGAAUCACUGUUGCCUGAUACCCUACUUCCUCAUUAAGCCCAUGUUGCUUCACGCAAGCCUGCCACCAUAAAUCUCAUCAAAUUCAUGCCGCUACAUGGAAACAUGCAACUGUGAAUCUCAUCAGACCCAUGUUGUUACGUGAAAUCCUGGAACUGUGAAUCUCAUCAGAUCUAUGCCGCUACAUGAAAGCCUGCAACUAUGAACCUCGCCCGAUCCAUGCCGCUACAUGAAAUUCUGACACUAUAAACUUGUAAGGCAAUCUAAUCCUUUCACGAACGCUCUCUAUAAAGCUUCAAACUUUCUUUAUAUAGUUUGUUCUUUUUAUCAUUCUCUACAAUAUAGAGGCAUAUGACGACAUCUAUUUCAUGUAGCUUUUCAUUAAGCUUUUAGCACAAAUUCACACUCAAAACAUUUAUCAUACAACUUUCCCCGCAAAGCUCAUAAUAAAUGUAUACACAUAUAAGCUUCUUGCCUAUAUAGCAAAUAACCAAACAUACAGGCAUCUUGCCAGUGACUCAUCUAGUCCUAUGCAUAGUGUAAGUCCAUCCUACGAGCCAUGUAGUGUCGCAAUAUUUGUUGACUUUUGUUAACUUUUCUUUAAUGAUAAUGUACAACCUAUCUCAACUUUCGAUGACCAUAACUUUCUUCUACGAACUUAGAUUUUAACGGUCUUUAUAUCCGUGAAACCGUCACGGGUCGAACUACGAAUUUCUUUUAAUAAGCAUUUGCUAAUAACUUAUACAUUUUUCAUUAGUCAUUUUCUUUAAAAGUAACAAUUUUUCAGUCGUUACACUCAGGCUAUAUAGAUUUAGGUCCCGUUUGAUAGUUGCUGACUGAGAAAUAGCUAACUCGGAAAUGUCUGUCUGGGUAAGAAAUUUCGACCGAGUAAGAAACUAUGUUGUUUGAUUGUACAUCUGACUGAAAAAAAUGACCAUUUAACCCUUCUUCUAUAUACAAUGAUGAAUGAAGUUGCUGAAAAAUUUAAAAAACAUACAAAUUGUCAUAUAAAAUGUAAAUUACACACAAAUCCUUUAAAAUUCCAAAUAAAAAUUAUAAAAGACAUCAUUGUUUUUAUAAAGUUAUAUGAUAUGUAUUUCAAAAUGAGAAAUGAAUUUUAAAGGAAUAGAAAUUUACAUGAUAUGUAGACGUACAAUUGGUUUUCAUUGCGCAAUCUAUCAAACACAUGCUAUACAUUAAGAUGAUUAAAUAUAAAAGAAAUCCAUGUGUAAUAAAUCAACUAAAUGUGAACCAGUCAUGCAUAUUGAAAUCAAGAAUAAAGAAAUAGUUCUUGAUUAAAAUUUAUGAGGAAUAAUCAAAGCGCAUAGGACCAAUUAUCACUUCGUCAUUUACCAUAUCCAAUACAAAGCACAUGAAUUGAUUUCAUUAUCACAUAAUCUAAUUCAGCACGUCAAUUUUGACUUUUUAUUUGACUUUUGGAUUUCAAGAUCAGAACUCCAAGGCUUAAAUCAGGCGAUUCAAUAGCAAAAUAAACAUUCAAGAGCAAACAAGCAGCACAAAUCAAAACUUUCUUAUUCAGAUUUUCAAAAAUCAAGAGCAUAAAUCGGAACAUUUAAUAGCAAAAAUCGGAGCAUUCCCAGAAAUCGGAGCAUUCAAGUGUACCUAUGAGAUGAGGAAGGAGCUUCGAUCGGUGGGUGGAAGAGGACAAAUGGGGUCGACGAUGCUUGCUGGUUGGGGAGAAGAAAGGAGUUGUUGAAAGAGGAUUCAUCAGGAAGCGCUAGAAGAGAUACAUUAGGGAAGGGUAUUAUUGGAACCUUUCUCAGUCAGCCCAAUUUUCACUUCUUUCCCAUUCAGAUAUUCCUUUGCGAGUCAGAUGCACAAAACUUGAUUAUCAAACACUUAUAGCCGACCGAGUCAGCCAAAAAGGUCUUACUCGACUCGGCCAAAAAGGUAUGACUCGACUCGUAUGAAGGCUUAAUGUGCAUGAUGUCUCAUGUGAAGAAAUUUGGUCCUAAAACAUAACUUAUUUAUUUGCAGCCUAUUGGUUUUAGGAUUUAACAUGUUUUAGGUUUUGUAUAGCCCUGAAAGUGUAUGUAAGACUCAAUGUUGAGCAAGGCAUGUAGAUGUUAUGAGUAAUAAGGGACAAUAUAUAGAUGAGAAAUUAAAU